RNAcentral lists this ribosomal RNA (429 nucleotides) under Chloroflexota bacterium. RNAcentral describes it as "Chloroflexi bacterium partial 16S ribosomal RNA". It matches the Rfam family "Bacterial small subunit ribosomal RNA", at positions 355 to 776 of the family's 1533-position model. The record is from RNAcentral. Lineage: Bacteria; Bacillati; Chloroflexota.
UGGGGAAUAUUGCACAAUGGGCGCAAGCCUGAUGCAGCCAUGCCGCGUGUAUGAAGAAGGCCUUCGGGUUGUAAAGUACUUUCAGCGGGGAGGAAGGGAGUAAAGUUAAUACCUUUACUCAUUGACGUUACCCGCAGAAGAAGCACCGGCUAACUCCGUGCCAGCAGCCGCGGUAAUACGGAGGGUGCAAGCAUUAAUCGGAAUUACUGGGCGUAAAGCGCACGCAGGCGGUUUGUUAAGUCAGAUGUGAAAUCCCCGGGCUCAACCUGGGACCUGCAUCUGAUACUGGCAAGCUAGAGUCUCGUAGAGGGUGGUAGUAUUCCGGGUGUAGCGAUGAAAUGCGUAGAGAUCUAGAGGAAUACCGGUGGCGAAGGCGGCCCCCUGGACGAAGACUGACGCUCAGGUGCGAAAGCGUGAGGAGCAAACAGG